GAUGAAGAACGUAGCGAAAUGCGAUAAGUAAUGUGAAUUGCAGAAUUCAGUGAAUCAUCGAAUCUUUGAACGCACAUUGCGCCCCCUGGAAUUCCGGGGGGCAUGCCUGUUCGAGCGUCUCAGGGACGAACCCUCGCGCGGGUGUACGCGCGGUCGUGGCUGCGGUGGCGUGCCCGAGGCGGCGGCCACCGCGCUGGAAUCCAUGGGCGGACGCCUGCCGCGUGGCCGAGCGUGAUAUGACGCAUUGGCGCUCGCACGCGGAGAGGCUGCCAGCCCUGGCCCGUCUGUCGGGCGGGGGAGAGCAAGACACGUGAACUCCUCGAAUCAGGUAGGGAUACCCGCUGAACUUAAGCAUAUCAAUAAGCGGAGA
Molecule: unclassified non-coding RNA, 370 nt
Filed under: soil metagenome
Description: partial contains 5.8S ribosomal RNA, internal transcribed spacer 2, and large subunit ribosomal RNA
Rfam family: 5.8S ribosomal RNA (bases 1-120)
Source: RNAcentral